RNAcentral lists this ribosomal RNA (423 nucleotides) under uncultured archaeon. RNAcentral's name for it is "bacterial SSU rRNA". It matches the Rfam family "Archaeal small subunit ribosomal RNA", at positions 457 to 880 of the family's 1478-position model. The record is from RNAcentral.
UUCAGCCGCCGCGGUAAUACCAGCUCUCCUAGUGGUAGGGACAAUUAUUGGGCUUAAAGCGUCCGUAGCCAGCCCCUCAAGUCUCUCGUUAAAUCCAACGAUUCAAUCGCUGGACUGCGGGAGAUACUGUAGGGCUAGGGGGCGGGAGAAGCCGACGGUAUUCUUGGGGUAGGGGUAAAAUCCUAUAAUCCCGGGAAGACCACCAGUGGCGUAGGCGGUCGGCAAGCACGCGCCCGACGGUAAGGGACGAAAGCUGGGGGAGCGAACCGGAUUAGAUACCCGGGUAGUCCCAGCCGUAAACGAUGCGGGCUAGGUGUUGGAGCGGCUACGAGCCGCUUCAGUGCCGCAGGGAAGCCAUUAAGCCCGCCGCCUGGGGAGUACGGCCGCAAGGCUGAAACUUAAAGGAAUUGGCGGGGGAGCACA